This 200-nucleotide unclassified non-coding RNA is filed under the name soil metagenome. Its description in RNAcentral is "partial contains internal transcribed spacer 2 and large subunit ribosomal RNA". The record is from RNAcentral.
CAUGUAGACUCAAUCCCUCGGGUUUCCGAGGAGAUUGGACUUGGGUGUCUGCCUCUUCUGGCUCGCCUUAAAAGACUUAGCGGGAUAGCACCGUAGUCGACGUAAUAAGUUUCGUCGGUGAGUGUGAUGUCUGCUCACAAUCGCCCCUGGGCACUUUUGACUCUGACCUCAAAUCAGGUAGGACUACCCGCUGAACUUAA